Papaver somniferum (opium poppy) is the source of this 2270-nucleotide long non-coding RNA. RefSeq lists it as uncharacterized. The record is from RefSeq and is a predicted model, not a curated record. Lineage: Eukaryota; Viridiplantae; Streptophyta; Magnoliopsida; Ranunculales; Papaveraceae. The transcript has 3 exons.
UUUCUUAUCAUACUUCACAAAAAUGCCAUAAUAUCUAACAAUACAAGGGGAAAACAGAGUUGUACGAUGUACUAAAUGUCGCGAUUUCCCCUCCGUGUUUUGGUUUCUCUAUCAGUUUUUGGGGCAAAUUUCAAGAAAUCUAGGGCAAAUCCGAAAUGUAAAAAUAACUCCUCCUCUGAUAAACAAAUCUCUCCUGCGUCAAAUCUCUUCUUCCUUCAUCUUCAUCACCAUUAACACCGUAUAACACCAUCACCACUACCAUCCCAUCACCACCACUGUCGUUCCUUCAAUUUAAUUGGGUUUGAAAUCAAAACCAACUCUCCUUCAAUCACCACCACAAAUUUUUUUUCAUUCGAUUCUCCUUCGAUCUGUCACAACCACCACCAUGAAUCCCCUUAAAUCUCCGACAAUCACUGCCACAAAUCUUCAAAAAGCACCCCUACCAACCUCCUUCAAUUUCAUACGCAAAUUAAUACCAGCAACACCAUCACCGUCAUUAGUUUCACAAAUGAUUUAUUUAGUACGACCCUCAUUUACUUCACCCUCACCGCCACCGUAACCACCGCCACCAAAUACGUCAUACAAAAGAAAUCAAUAUUCAAAAUUUCUACCCUAACCAACCACCACCCUCUAUUACUUUGACUUUCACCACCACCAUCAACACCAGCUCCACCACCACCGAUGAAUCAUUUUUUUUCUUUUUCCGAACCUGCAAUUCGAUUUUAAAUUUUAAAUUUCAUGAUCUCAGUCAACCCAGAAUCAGAUCAAAAUCUUUGUUAACCGACAUCCAGCAGAAAUUAAUUUUUUUUAGUCUAUUGAACUAAUCACAUACAAUUACAGAAAUCGCACUAUAGUUGUUAGAUUAUUAUCUAUAUUAUAAAAAGAAGUGGUGUGUGUGUAGCUUUACAAAUCCGACCAUCGAUUUUGUCAUCCCACAACUAGGAUCGCUCAGUUGUAUGUUUUAUAUAAAAAUAUAUGAUCGUCCGAUUCGUUGGGUUUCCUGAUUUCGGUAAAUUUGGGUAGGUUUCCGUAAUAUGUCUUUUUCCUGCUAAAUUUCAAAACAGAAUUCCAGAACAUGGUUUAAUAAGGAAACGGAGGCGGUAGAAUUUCGAGUCUAAAUAAAGUACCACCAACGUUUCAAACCCUAUAAAAACUAUGCAAUUUGAUUGGCAUCUUCCGCAGUUUUUUGUUUCUGCAUAUUUCUCUGCAACAUUGGCAGCAGACAUGGAAGACGGGUGAUAAAGGAGUCAAUGAGAUUCUACCCUUCAUCCCCUUUUAUUGCAAGAGAAGCAUCAAAACAAGUGGAGAUAGGAGGAUAUGUCCUUCCACAGGGUACAUGGAUCUGGUUCUCACCUAGGAUCCUAACCAAACACCCUAAGAAUUUUUCAAAGACAUCCAUAUGCUUUGAUUCCGUUUGGACUUGGACCGCGACAACGUAUUGGAGUGAAAUUUUCCAUGCGAGAGAUGAAGCUGACGCUAAUUCAUCUCUACCAAAGAUAUUUGUUUAAACAUUCUCCAAGUAUGGAAAGACCUGUUGAUCUGGAGUAUGGAAUCAUUCUCAACUUCAAAUAUGACGUCAAGUUGAGAGUUAUUAAAAUAAGAAGUUAGCUUGAUAUUUAUAGAUCUGUAGACCUAAGAAAUUAACAUGGUGGGUUAGGCAUUCAUAACUUGAAAUUGGUGAACAAAGUAUUAACGACCAAGUGGAUAUGGUGAUAUUCAAAAGAAAUAAGGCUUUUUGGGGUAAAGUUAUGGCAAAGCAGACGAAGACAGACUCAAGAUAUCAAUUACAAUAUAUAUAAACUCGGUUUCUCUCUGGUAAAUUGCUAUCUAUUUUGAAAACAUGGAUAAACAAUGGGAGGAGCACUCAAAUUUUGGAGAGAUCGGUGGGUAUCGAACAAAUGCUCAAAGGAAAAAUAUCCAAAAUUGUUUAGAUUAAGUUCGAAUAAGACGCUAUGGUUGGUGAUUUUUACAAUUCUAAUAGUUGGAACUGCAAUUUAGACUAGCAGUUGAUCCAGCAGAAAGCAAUCAUUUGCUUGAGCUAAGACAUUACGCGCGAAGCAUUUAUUUUAAACUUCGUGUUGGAGGGUAACACCUCCACUUCAGGUGGACUGUAAACAAAGGCAUAUACAUGCAUCUAUAAAUGGAUAAUGCUUUUAAAAAACUUCCGCCUAAAGUUUCUUUCAUUAUAUGGCCAAUCCAACAUAACUCUCUCCCAUCAAGAAGUUCGCUGCAAAGAGACUUCUCUUUCGAAUCAAGUCGUAAUUUUUAGC